RNAcentral lists this ribosomal RNA (1361 nucleotides) under uncultured bacterium. RNAcentral describes it as "16S ribosomal RNA". It matches the Rfam family "Bacterial small subunit ribosomal RNA". The record is from RNAcentral.
UGGCGGACGGGUGAGUAACGCGUAGGGAUGUGCCUUUGAGUACGGAAUAACCGUUGGAAACGACGGCUAAUACCGUAUACGCCCCCAGGGGGAAAGCUCCGGCGCUCAAAGAGCAACCUGCGUCCGAUUAGCUUGUUGGUGAGGUAAUGGCUCACCAAGGCUGCGAUCGGUAGCUGGUCUGAGAGGAUGGUCAGCCACAUUGGGACUGAGACACGGCCCAAACUCCUACGGGAGGCAGCAGUGGGGAAUCUUGCACAAUGGAGGAAACUCUGAUGCAGCGAUGCCGCGUGAGUGAAGAAGGCCCUUGGGUUGUAAAGCUCUUUCGUCGGGGAAGAAAAUGACUGUACCCGAAUAAGAAGGUCCGGCUAACUUCGUGCCAGCAGCCGCGGUAAUACGAAGGGACCUAGCGUAGUUCGGAAUUACUGGGCUUAAAGAGUUCGUAGGUGGUUGAAAAAGUUAGUGGUGAAAUCCCAGAGCUUAACUCUGGAACUGCCAUUAAAACUUUUCAGCUAGAGUAUGAUAGAGGAAAGCAGAAUUUCUAGUGUAGAGGUGAAAUUCGUAGAUAUUAGAAAGAAUACCAAUUGCGAAGGCAGCUUUCUGGAUCAUUACUGACACUGAGGAACGAAAGCAUGGGUAGCGAAGAGGAUUAGAUACCCUCGUAGUCCAUGCCGUAAACGAUGUGUGUUAGACGUUGGAAAUUUAUUUUCAGUGUCGCAGGGAAACCGAUAAACACACCGCCUGGGGAGUACGACCGCAAGGUUAAAACUCAAAUGAAUUGACGGGGACCCGCACAAGUAGUGGAGCAUGUGGUUUAAUUCGAAGAUACGCGCAGAACCUUACCAACACUUGACAUGUUCGUCGCGACUCUAAGAGAUUAGAGUUUUCGGUUCGGCCGGACGAAACACAGGUGCUGCAUGGCUGUCGUCAGCUCGUGUCGUGAGAUGUUGGGUUAAGUCCCGCAACGAGCGCAACCCUCACUUUUAGUUGCCAUCAUUAAGUUGGGCACUCUGAAAGAACUGCCAGUGAUAAGCUGGAGGAAGGUGGGGAUGACGUCAAGUCCUCAUGGCCCUUACGUGUUGGGCUACACACGUGCUACAAUGGUAUCUACAACAGGAAGCAAGACUGCGAGGUCAAGCAAAUCCUUAAAAGAUACCUCAGUUCGGAUUGCACUCUGCAACUCGAGUGCAUGAAGCUGGAAUUACUAGUAAUCGUGGAUCAGCGUGCCACGGUGAAUGCGUUCCCGGGUCUUGUACACACCGCCCGUCACACCAUGGGAGUUGGUUCUACCUUAAGGCAAGGUUUCAAACCCUUGACCACGGUAUAGUCAGCGACUGGGGUGAAGUCGUAACAAGGUAGCCGUA